Molecule: small nuclear RNA, 160 nt
Filed under: Dasypus novemcinctus (nine-banded armadillo)
Lineage: Eukaryota; Metazoa; Chordata; Mammalia; Cingulata; Dasypodidae
Description: U1 spliceosomal RNA (ENSDNOG00000039073.1)
Rfam family: U1 spliceosomal RNA
About the family: U1 is a small nuclear RNA (snRNA) component of the spliceosome (involved in pre-mRNA splicing). Its 5' end forms complementary base pairs with the 5' splice junction, thus defining the 5' donor site of an intron.
Source: RNAcentral
AUACUUACCUGGCAGGAGAGCUACCAUGAUCAUGAAGGUGGUUUCCCAGGGCGAGGCUAAUCCAUGGCACUCCAGAUGUGCUGACACCUAUGAUUUCCCCAAGUGUUGGAAACAUGGCGGCAUAAUUUGUGGUAGUAGGGAAUUGCAUUCACAUUCUCUC